RNAcentral lists this ribosomal RNA (369 nucleotides) under Triticum aestivum (bread wheat). RNAcentral's name for it is "partial small subunit ribosomal RNA". The record is from RNAcentral. Lineage: Eukaryota; Viridiplantae; Streptophyta; Magnoliopsida; Poales; Poaceae.
AUGCCGACCCUCUAUGAUCUGGCAAUUGACGAGUUUCGGAAUGCUCCGUCGGAGAUUUUUAUUGGGUGCUUGACGCCUGUAGAUUACUGGAUCAAAUGGGAUUCGGUCGUGUGCGUCCCUAUUUCAGCCCGAGUGGCUUCAGGAGGGUGUGAUGCGAGAGAACGUAUCCUGUGCAACGACGAGACUGGUGUAACGAGUGCUCCGAGAAAUUCUGCGCCACUGGAUGCGGAACCAAUGGCGCAGAAUCGGUCGGAGCACUCGUUACACCAGUCUCGUGGUUGCACAGGAUACGUUCUCUGUGAUGUGAAGGCGAAGCUUCGUUGUUUAUUAACAUUAUGGGACAUGUUGGCAUUUCGAUUUCCAUUAUGA